This 489-nucleotide ribosomal RNA is filed under the name Triticum aestivum (bread wheat). Its description in RNAcentral is "partial small subunit ribosomal RNA". Lineage: Eukaryota; Viridiplantae; Streptophyta; Magnoliopsida; Poales; Poaceae. The record is from RNAcentral.
AUGAAGACCCAUCCUCCGGCAACAUUGUGUCCCGUCCGAACCACUCGUGCUACAACGUGGUGGACAGCGAGUCAAAGGCGAGAGACAGACGCGAGAGGGUCUCCCGGCCCGUACGCCACUACCGCAGGGACAAGGAUGAUGAGGGUGACCGCGAUCGCGGGCGCGGACGCGAUGGGUGGGACGCGCCCAGGGGUGGCCAAGGCUGGGGCGACCGCAUCCGCAGGAGCCUAUCACACGCGCCACGGGACGACUAGCGCGACAACGACAGAAGUGACCGCGACGGCCGCCGGGGCAGCCGCGACGGGCGGCGCCGCGCCUCGUCGCCUCUGCCUCUCAUCGUCCCCAACAGGACACUGCUGCUGGGCUCCGGCUCCGCGAGCACGCCCAUGGCGCAAGAGCGGGAACUCCAGCCCAUCCUUCAAGCACCGGUGCUUCCCGUGGUUGUCCAGCCUGCCGCGGCUGCCGAGGCCCGUGGCCGCAGCCCGGUGA